RNAcentral lists this unclassified non-coding RNA (334 nucleotides) under soil metagenome. RNAcentral's name for it is "partial contains 5.8S ribosomal RNA, internal transcribed spacer 2, and large subunit ribosomal RNA". The stretch from base 1 to 120 matches the Rfam family "5.8S ribosomal RNA", at positions 35 to 154 of the family's 154-position model. The record is from RNAcentral.
GAUGAAGAACGUAGUGAAAUGCGAUAAGUAAUGUGAAUUGCAGAAUUCAGUGAAUCAUCGAAUCUUUGAUCGCACAUUGCGCCCCCCAGUAUUCUGGCGGGCAUGCCUGUUCGAGCGUCAUUUCAACCAUCAAGCCCUGCUUGUGUUGGGGUCCUGCGGCUGCCCGCAGGCCCUGAAAACCAGUGGCGGGCUCGCUAGUCACACCGAGCGCAGUAGCACAUCUCGCUCAGGGCGUGCGGCGGGCUCCAGCCGUUAAAGCACCCACCUUUCGCAAGGUUGACCUCGGAUCAGGUAGGAAUACCCGCUGAACUUAAGCAUAUCAAUAAGCGGAGGA